This 733-nucleotide ribosomal RNA is filed under the name uncultured organism. Its description in RNAcentral is "bacterial SSU rRNA". It matches the Rfam family "Bacterial small subunit ribosomal RNA", at positions 462 to 1211 of the family's 1533-position model. The record is from RNAcentral.
AUGCGGUAUGACGGUACCCUUUCGAAUAAGAGGUUGCUAACUCUGUGCCAGCAGCAGCGGUAAUACAGAGACCUCGAGCGUUAUCCGGAUUUACUGGGCGUAAAGCGUCUGUAGGGGGUUUGUUAAGUUCCAAGUAAAAUCUUAAGGCUCAACUUUAAGUUCGCUUGGAAAACUAAUAAACUGGAGUCCAGCAGAGGUGCAUGGAACUUGCGGUGUAGGAGUGAAAUCCGUUGAUAUCGCAAGGAACACCAAAGGCGAAGGCAUUGCACUGGGCUGGUACUGACCCUGAGAGACGAAAGCGUGGGGAGCAAAACGGAUUAGAUACCCGUGUAGUCCACGCCGUAAACGAUGGAUACUAGAUGUUCGGGGAUUCGACCCCCUGGGUGUCACAGCUAACGCGUUAAGUAUCCCGCCUGGGAAGUACGGCCGUAAGGCUAAAACUCAAAGGAAUAGACGGGGAUCCGCACAAGCGGUGGAGCGUCUGGUUUAAUUUGAUAGUAAGCAAUGGACCUCACCAAGGUUUGACAUCCUAUGACAACCCUGGAAACAGGGCUUCCUUCGGGCAUAGUGACAGGUGCUGCAUGGUCGUCGUCAGUUCGUGCCGUGAGGUGUUCCGUUAAGUCGGCAAACGAACGAAACCCUCGUGGCAUGUUACAAAUUUCAUGCGAGACUGCCCGGGUCAACCGGGAGGAAGGCGGGGAUGACGUCAGAUCAGCAUGGUCCUUAUACCUUG